GAUGAACGCUGGCGGCGUGCCUAAUACAUGCAAGUCGAGCGAACGGACGAGAAGCUUGCUUCUCUGAUGUUAGCGGCGGACGGGUGAGUAACACGUGGAUAACCUACCUAUAAGACUGGGAUAACUUCGGGAAACCGGAGCUAAUACCGGAUAAUAUUUUGAACCGCAUGGUUCAAAAGUGAAAGACGGUCUUGCUGUCACUUAUAGAUGGAUCCGCGCUGCAUUAGCUAGUUGGUAAGGUAACGGCUUACCAAGGCAACGAUGCAUAGCCGACCUGAGAGGGAGAUCGGCCACACGGGAACUGAGACACGGUACAGACUCAUACGGGAGGCAGCAGUAGGGAAUUGUCCGGAAAGGGCGAAAGCCUGACGGAGCAACGCCGCGGGAGCGAUGAAGGUCUUAGGAUCGUAAAACUCUGUUAUUAGGGAAGAACAUAUGUGUAAGGAACUGUGCACAUCUUGACGGUACCUAAUCAGAAGGCCACGGCUAAGUACGUG
Molecule: ribosomal RNA, 497 nt
Filed under: uncultured bacterium
Lineage: Bacteria
Description: partial 16S ribosomal RNA
Rfam family: Bacterial small subunit ribosomal RNA
Source: RNAcentral